RNAcentral lists this ribosomal RNA (396 nucleotides) under uncultured bacterium. RNAcentral describes it as "bacterial SSU rRNA". It matches the Rfam family "Bacterial small subunit ribosomal RNA", at positions 29 to 428 of the family's 1533-position model. The record is from RNAcentral.
AUUGAACGCUGGCGGAAUGCUUUACACAUGCAAGUCGAGCGGCAGCGCGGGGGCAACCCUGGCGGCGAGCGGCGAACGGGUGAGUAACAUAUCGGAACGUACCCAGUCGUGGGGGAUAACUAUCCGAAAGGAUAGCUAAUACCGCAUACGUCCUGAGGGAGAAAGCGGGGGAUCGCAGGACCUCGCGCGAUUGGAGCGGCCGAUAUCGGAUUAGCUAGUUGGUGGGGUAAAGGCUCACCAAGGCGACGAUCCGUAGCGGGUCUGAGAGGACGACCCGCCACACUGGAACUGAGACACGGUCCAGACUCCUACGGGAGGCAGCAGUGGGGAAUUUUGGACAAUGGGGGCAACCCUGAUCCAGCCAUUCCGCGUGAGUGAAGAAGGCCUCGGUUGUAA